Molecule: long non-coding RNA, 6007 nt
Filed under: Homo sapiens (human)
Lineage: Eukaryota; Metazoa; Chordata; Mammalia; Primates; Hominidae
Description: non-protein coding lnc-BATF3-2:8
Source: RNAcentral
AGCUGUCCCCGGGCUGCCUGGGAGUCACUGGGGAGUCCUAGCCCGCCCUUGGGCCUAGGGCUCCCUGAUGCGGCCUCCACUCUUCGCAGGGCCAGGGGGCGAGGAAGGAGGAGGGAGGGAAGAGGGAAGCUGGGGAGUGGGAGAGCGUCCUCCACGACCGCUUGGGUCCUCCGCGGGGCAGCCUCGGGGAGGGUGGCUGCAGGGCCCGGAGUCGCCUGGAUCGCAGCGCCAUCUCGUGGCUGCUGGCAGGUCUGCCUUGGGCCCUCUUGGCACAAGGCAAGGAAACAGGAGCUCUUCCCAUCAGUGACAGGUGCCCGCCGGCCCGCACCCAGGAGAAUGCUCCAGUGUCACCAGUGACUCCUGCUCCCACAUCUGCCUACAGGAAGCCCUCUUGGAACAAAAGCAUCUCACUUCUGGGAGGCAUCAAGUAGAGAUGAGGUCUCAAUGAAGCAGUGUUGUUGCCUGGGGUAAAUACCCGGGUUCAUCAUCUCGAGCCAAGAAGAUUAAGGACAUGAACACACAUGAAGAGUAAGUUUAGGAGCAGAGGUUUAAUAGGCAAAAGAAAGAGAAAGGAGAACAGCUCUCUCCCUUGCAAAAGAGAGGGGCUCCCAAAGGGGAAAACCCAGCCUGCGGUGGACUACACCCGAUUUUAUAGGCAAGCUUGAGAAGGCAGUGUCUGAUUUAUGUAGGGUUCACAGAUUGGUUUGACCAGUAUGAUGUUUACAUAGUAUUCACGGAAGGCUGCAUGCCCCACCCUAAUCUUAUUAUGUAAAUGGAGUCUUUGCCUGGCUGGCGCCAUAUUGUCUUCUCCUUACUGUACAUGUGGUUUGACAAAGGGAAGGGAAGAUGAAGCUGCCAUUUUGAACAUGCCUAGUCCCAGGUAGCCUUUUCCUGUUGGCACAACUGCUGGCAUUCACCUGUACAAGCUUCCAGCUUGCUUACCUAUGUCUGCAGCUCGAUUUUACAGGCUGCUCUUUGUAGAAAAAAAAACAAAAAACUAUUUUGAGACUGCUUUUCAUGAAAAGAAAAACCUUACCAAGGACUCCCAGACCCUCACUAUCUGCCUAAGUAAUUUCUUCUUAACUCCUGUAUCAUUACUAUAUUGCCCAGGCUGGUCUCAAAUUCCUGGGCUCAAGUGAUCCUCCCACCUUAGCCUCCCAAAGUGCUAGGAUUACAGGCAUGAGCCACUGUGCCCAGCCAUGUUGUAUUUUUUAAAGUACAGUUUAUCAUGAAAAAGGGAGAAAAGGUACUACAUCCAACCAGAAUGGCUAAAAUGAAAGAGAUAAACACUAUCAAAUUUUGACAAAGAUAUGAAACAACCAGAACUCUCAUAUAUGCCUGGUGGCAGUGUAAAAUGGCAUAGCCACUUUAGGAAAUAGCUUGGUAGUAUCCACUAAAGCUGAAAAUAUGCAUAUAUUCAAUUGUAUUCUUAAGUAUAUAUCCUACAAAAAUUUAUGAGCGUUUUAACCAAAAGAUCUGUGUACAAAUGUCCAUAGCAGUAAUCUUUUCUUUUUUUUUUUUUUUUUUUUUUUUUUUUGCUCCAGUCAAGGGAGAAGCAGUGAUGUUUUAGUAUCCAGAAAGUGGAAAUAACCCAAAUGCCCAUCAACAGCAGAAUGAAAUUGUACUAUAUUCACACCAUGGAAUAUUGUAUAGCAAAGAGAAUGAAUGAACUAUUAACAGAAAAGACAUGGACAAAUCUCAUAAACAUGAUGCUGAAAGAAACCACAGUCAAAAAAGAAGAUGCUUCCCAACCUUUUGCAGACCAUGGCAUACGCAGAAAAUGACAACAUCGGAAUGGCACACUGGCAUACCAGUUGGGGAUCCUUGCAGUCAAUGCUGACUGGACUCAUCCUUCAGCCGCCCCCAAGAAGAGAGAGAUCAAUACCUUGGCACAUCUGUGGGAAAGCUCCCAUUAGAGAGUGUGGGGAAGACACAGGCCUCCACAACACAUUUCAGGUUCUCUAAACUGGCAAAGGGGAAGAGUCUGGGCUUCCUUUGCCCUUUUGUUCUCAAAGAGCCCAGCUGUGCACACCCCUCACCCCUGCACUAUAGCUCCCAUUUGGGUAGUGAAAAAUCACAGGACUCAGGGGAGUUAUGCAGCAUUCGGGAAUGGAGACCUGGAAAGCCACACACUCCUCCUUGCUUUCCUGUGAGCCUCUCUUCUUGCUGUCCCCUUUACAACCAACAGUCCCUGCAGGGGGAAGACACUCUGCUUUAGUCAGUUCCACCUCCCUUCCAGAUCUCAUCCUCCUUUCAGCCUAAUUUUCCUCACACUGUCAUGCUCCUUCCCACUGCUCGCCCCCCACCCCCUACUCUCCUCCAGCACAUCACACAUUGCGCCUGGGCACACUGAGCUUGUCUGCCAUCUAUGAAGAGGCCCAUGUCACCCAAGCCCUUCUCUUUCCCUGUCAUGCCAUAGCCUCUUCCAGGAGCGCUCAGCCUGCUGUUUCUGCUCAGACCUCCCCUCCUCUGCAAAGCCUCCUUCUGCGUGCUGCCCGAGAGCCAUCCCCCACUUGGGUUUGUGUUACUGCUGUGUAUGGCAGCAUCUUCACUGUGCCUGAUUUCCCGUCUUGGCCCAUCGUAGGUGCUCAACAAUUGUUUCUCAAAUGACCAGCGCCUGCAGAGGGACCCUGACAUGAACUCCACCCCACCCCGACUCUUGGCAGUUACUCACUGUCCCCUUGAGUCGGGAUCCCAGCCCCUCAGGGGACCUGUCUUGCAGCCAUUCCACGCUCUGUCACCCCACUGCCAGGAGACUAGAGCCACACUGCCUGGAUGACGCUCAUCUUUACCAGCUCGCAGCUCUGCCAGCUGCCUGCUCAGGGGUGGCCGCCAGCUGAGGGAUUGAGCUGAUUAUAGGUGAAUCAGCACCAGGCUGAUUGUGGUGUGAAAAAGGGGAAGGGUGACUGUGUCUUAGCCUCAAUCCUGGCUCCCCUCCUUCCAGCCCUGACCUGCAGUAACAGCACAGGGCCACCAGAGGCUCUAUUGGGCGACUCAUGCCCCGCGGAGAAAGGCCCAGUAGGAGAGCAUCUGACCCAGUUCCCAGCAGAUGAGAAAGGAAGAAGAGUUCAGGAGGCUUCUACUCUCAGAGGUCUCCAGCACUGAAACCCCGCAGCCGCACCUGGCUGCCUUAUCCUUGUGUUUUGCCCCUCAUGGGUCUAGAAGCUGUUGUGUUACACCUUAACAUCUUCCUCCUUGCUUGCCAUGAGCCCCUCUGCUUGCAGCCCCCUUUACAGAACAACAGUCAUGGUAGAGGGAAGAUGUCUCCACUUUUGUCAGUUCUGCCUCCUUUAGGAGAGUGUCAGGCCUAACCCAUGUGUGCUCUGUCUUUCAGGGCAUGGAAAAGACUAUUGUCCUGUUUCGUCUUUUCAACACCUCUUGACUCUCUCCCCCUGGUUUCCUAACAGCCAGCUAGGUUCAGGGCCUCCCAUCUCUGGCCAGGAUUAGUGCAAUGGCUUUCUGAAGGGUCCCAGGCUCCAGGGAGCCCCUUGCCCAUCAAGUCUCUACCCUGGAGCCAGACAGCCCUUACUUCCAUCAGACAUCAGCCUCCAGUGGCUCCGAAAGGCCAGGCAUCCACACAGCACCCCACGGCCCCAAGAACUGGCUGCUUGAUUUUCCUGCCCUGUGUCCCUCCUCUCCUUGGCCCUCUACCCAGCAAUCACCCCAAAACACUGUGAUGUUUCAAGCCUUUGUACUUUGCACACAUUCUUCUCCAUGGCCUAAUUCCCUCUCUCCACCCCUCACUCCACACCUCCUCCACCUUUACCCUUUCUCCCCAUUCUUUCUUCACCGGGCACAGCCCUACUUAUCCUUCAAAACUGCCACUUCCUCUGCGAAGCCUUUCCUGACCCGUGUCCCAGAAUCCCUCCUCUGAACAAAUCCUGUUCCCUAAACAUGCAUCUCUCAUUGUAUCUGUCACUCAAGGGUUGCAAUAAUUACACACACGCCUGUCCUUUGUCCUCCACUGGCUCUGUACCUCCAUGUGGGACCCAUGGCCAGCACACAUUGGUGGUGCCCGAAAGCUGUUGCACUGGAGUUGUUCCUUCUGCCCCAUCACCUCCCACCUUGAACAAGUCCUUUAGAUGACCUGAACUCCAGUUUGUUGAUCUGCAAAAUGGAGAGAUGUGAGAAUCAGAAGAGAACACGUAAUGAAAGGGUGUUAUAAACUGCUAAGGGCUGUACAAAUGUUUGUAUUGCAUUUUUGUCUUCCAGACUAGUGUUUACCUACACUUGCCUGUGUGGAAAUCAGAAGAUUAAAGGAAUGCGAUGUGAUCUUUUUGUAAUUUCCCCACUUGGGUCAAGGGAAAAGCUGGUCAAGAGUAAACCAUUAAUUCAUCCCCCUGCAGGCCCCCCAAUCUUCCCUAGAAUUCUGGGUUAAUGAUUCUGAGGUUGUUUUCCUCACAGAGCCAAUUCAUAUCUAAUCUUUGGCAUGUUCCCCCCUUUAUUAAGAAUAACUUGACUCACCCCAUUAAUUCCUCAUCCUGGGGUCACGAGCCUUGUUUUGCAGAAGGAAAUGGUGGCUGUGUGUAUGUCUUGGGCCUUCUUUCUUUCUCAAACCCCUUUCUUUCAUGGAUUCAUGCCUACAAUUCCCUCUGUGGACAGAAGAGACCUCUCCUUACCUGCAUAAUGAAAUGUGUGACUUUUCUCAAAAGUAGCUUUAGGAAUUAACUGUGGAGGUCCAAGUAGCAAGGAUGCUGUGACCUAACUCGUUACCCCCUCACGUGUGGUUUGGAAUCCCAGCAGAAAAAAUUUCCUGAAGAUCUGGUACGGAGAAACCAUUCUGGGCCUGGCUUUUAAAUGUUUUAUUAGCAGCUGGGCGAGGACUGGGCUGCAAAGAGAUGCAGCCCCCGUCAGAAGCGAUCCCUGUUGGGGAGCAAGGCCUGGAAUUCCAGGAGGGAGGUCUGUUUAUAGCUGAGGCAGAGGCUGGGGAGCGAAGCCUGGGAGCCAGACAUGGCUUAAGGGUGGUCUGGACACUCUUGAGAUAAGGCCAACUAAGGACUAUGAGCUCAUUGAAGUUCCAAAGCCAACUCACAGCAGCUCACCACCAGACAUGUCCCCUGCCCCCACAUUCCCUCCUCUCAAUCCAGGAAUUUUGGUGCUCAUCUCUAUAAAGUUUUAGACCAUGGUGGUAGGAACCUGGUAAGUCUCAGGUUCUUGCAUUGCCCGAUUCUCCUUGGAUUUGCUGGGUUUGCCUCCUUCCCAUGUCUCAGACAGGGCUUUGCAUAAAGAAGUGGGCUGGUAGAUCUGCAAAGGUCCCUCUGUGUGACUGGAGCAAGUUACCCUCUUGAGCCUCAGUGUCCUCUUCUGUAAAAUAGGGAUAUCAUUCUUUCUUUCCCAAGGCUUUUGGUAAUAAUGUCAUUCUCAUGUGAUUCUUAACAAAAUGGGCCUUUCAGACUUAGAUCACUUUUGUGCAUGCAUAAAAAUGAAAGCAUUGAGGAGAAGGAAUUGGUGAAUAUAUGUCUGGAGCAAUAACUUCAUCAGAACUGCCACGGUGGUUGUAGGACCAUUCUGAUUCCAGAGGUAUUAAAAUGCAAAACACAAUGUUGAAAUGCAAAACCCAACAAAAUAAUAAACAGCCUUGUACCUACCGCCUCCCUUAAGAACUAAAACAAUUCCCAACACCACUGAAAGACUGUGUUCACCUCCUUGAUCCAAUCUCUUGCCUUUCCACCCCAGAGAAAACCACUGUCCUGAAUUUUUUCCCACUCCCUUGGUUUUGUUUUACCAAACAUGUAUCCAAUAUGUAACAUAUUAUUUGUAUUUGAUCUUGUUUUUGAAUUGUCCUGUAGGUAGAAUUAUAUCUUAUUCUGCAAUUUGCUUUUUAAAGUUUUUGAAAGAGCAAAACUUAUCUAUGCUAAUACGCUAAUGUGUGUAGCUGCCAUUUAUUUGUCACUGCAUAUACCCCUCUCAAUUCUGUUGAUGGAAAUUUAGGCAGUUUCCAGUAUUAUUUUGCUACAAACAUUCUCAUGGCUGUCUCCUGCAACAUGUGUGUUUCUUGGGAGUAUAC